UACGAAGGGGGGCUAGCGUUGUUCGGAUUUACUGGGCGUAAAGCGCACGUAGGCGGAUUGUUAAGUGAGAGGUGAAAUCCCCGGAGCUCAACUCCGGAACUGCCUUUCAUACUGGCAAUCUAGAGUCCGGAAGAGGUGAGUGGAACUCCUAGUGUAGAGGUGGAAUUCGUAGAUAUUAGGAAGAACACCAGUGGCGAAGGCGGCUCACUGGUCCGGUACUGACGCUGAGGUGCGAAAGCGUGGGGAGCAAACAGG
RNAcentral lists this ribosomal RNA (255 nucleotides) under uncultured bacterium. RNAcentral's name for it is "partial 16S ribosomal RNA". It matches the Rfam family "Bacterial small subunit ribosomal RNA", at positions 524 to 776 of the family's 1533-position model. The record is from RNAcentral.